GAUUGAACUUUAGGGGAGAAUCACCAGUUGAUGCGGAAGAAGCAUGGUUUUGCCCAGAAAAAAAAGAAGUUCACGCAUUGGCAAACAAACUGAGUAGGGAAGGUCUUUGUUGAAUCUGAAUUGGCCAAGCAGGGGACGAAAACAAGCAUUGGAAAACUGGAGUUUCAAGAAGUACUGGUACAAACCCUUUAUAGGUUAGGUAGGCUUUCAUUUCAUGCCGUUUUGAUAUAUGUCUUAGUUGACAUAAAAGAAGUAAGAAAGCAGCCAAUCCGGGAGUGCCAGCCAGUUAGAUCUGAUUGGGGAGGCAAAAGAAAGAAGGAACUCCGAUAAAGUAAAAUUUACGGGUUCGGUUUACCUGGGGUGAGGGUAGCAUGUAAACAAAGAGGAAUUGCUAUCGAAACUACAGAUCUUCGAACAUGGGCAACCCAGCUUAAAGUAAGCGAGGGUAUCCAUUAUAAUAGAGUAAGACAUCACGAUUAGCCUUGUCUCAGCUUUGACUCUUGAUGGUUUCAUGCUCACGACAAUAGGAGAGGUGACAUAAGACCCAUUGAAAGACAUUUAUGUCGCCUAGACAGAAUAAAGAAAGGGGGGGUAGGAGAGCGAAGGAAAGAUUCCCGGGAUUCAUAGAGUUAAGCCCAGGGCAAGAAUAAACCAAAGAGGUAGAGUCCCGAUAGACUGGGAAGGUCUUUGUUCCACUCCUCUUUCUCGAUGCUUUUAAGAGCUAUAGUUCUCGUUAGUUCAUACUACCUGCUCUCGCUU
This 759-nucleotide unclassified non-coding RNA is filed under the name Hevea brasiliensis (rubber tree). Lineage: Eukaryota; Viridiplantae; Streptophyta; Magnoliopsida; Malpighiales; Euphorbiaceae. The record is from RNAcentral.